GUAAGGAAUAUUGGUCAAUGGGCGGAAGCCUGAACCAGCCAUGCCGCGUGCAGGACGACGGCCCUACGGGUUGUAAACUGCUUUUGCCCGGGAAUAACCCCCCGCUCUUGAGCGGGGCUGAACGUACCGGGAGAAUAAGGAUCGGCUAACUCCGUGCCAGCAGCCGCGGUAAUACGGAGGAUCCGAGCGUUAUCCGGAUUUAUUGGGUUUAAAGGGUGCGUUGGCGGCCCGUUAAGUCAGGGGUGAAAUACGGCAGCUCAACAGUCGCGGUGCCCUGGAGACUGACGGGCUCGAAUACCGGUGAAGGCGGCGGAAUGAGACAAGUAGCGGUGAAAUGCAUAGAUAUGUCUCAGAACCCCGAUUGCGAAGGCAGCUGCCUAACCGGCGAUUGACGCUGAUGCACGAAAGCGUGGGGAUCGAACAGGAUUAGAUACCCGUGUAGUCC
Molecule: ribosomal RNA, 445 nt
Filed under: uncultured bacterium
Lineage: Bacteria
Description: partial 16S ribosomal RNA
Rfam family: Bacterial small subunit ribosomal RNA
Source: RNAcentral